AUAGUUGAUAUCAGUGAGAAAUAAACUUCUUGGAAAAUAUUCAUCCGAUAGAGCACAAAUUAGCACACUAGAAACAAUAUUAUCUUUAUUCUGGUUAACUCUGAGGGACUGGAUUUUCUUCAAAGGGCUUAUUAUCUUUUGCUUUGUCGUCAACAGGAUCUAAUCUGAUACUUCACUGGGAAAGGAUGUGGACUCUUAAAUCCUACAACUGUGAGCACUGCGGGAGUGACUUUAUCAGCGGCAGGGCUCUGAGGUAUCACUUUCAACAGAAGCAUCUUGGAAAAGUUCACCGUGAAAAAUAUGACCAAGAAGUCCUGAGCAGGAAGCAACAGGGUCACAGUGAGUCUCCACGUGACAGGUCAACCAUGGAGACACAGAAGCUACACUGGGAAAAUCUAGAAGAAAGGAAUGUGAAUUACAUGGCUACAAAAAUAUCAAAAACAUGCAGGAUGUGUUCUAGAUGCUUUGGGACAGUCCUUAGUCGGGAGAACCACGAAAUACAAGAGCAUCACUUUACAGCCCGCAAAAGAGCCCAAAUGUCCGCAGGAUUUUCACCUCAUAAUAUGUUGGAGUGUAAAGGUCCCCAAGAGCUAUGGAGAUAUGCAGACCGAAAAAUCUGCCCUGCCUCUGGUUCUCAAAGAGCUGCUUGUGCAGCUGAGAUCGGUGCCUUGCUCCAGCUGAUCCAGACUUCCUUUCCGGUGCCGGCCUCCCGAGUGAUCCAGGGUGGAUCUUAUGUGAAAGGGACCGACACCCAAGGGUGCUCGGAGAUGGACAUCGUGCUGCUCAGUGAGGUGUUUGCCGAUGUGAACCAUUUCAAGAAACAACUGAGAGAAGGGCUGGAGACUCUGAGAGAAAGCUUGAUGCGAGCUGCAUAUGGGAACAGGUCUGGUUGA
RNAcentral lists this long non-coding RNA (893 nucleotides) under Capra hircus (goat). RNAcentral's name for it is "lncRNA (ENSCHIG00000006927.1)". The record is from RNAcentral. Lineage: Eukaryota; Metazoa; Chordata; Mammalia; Artiodactyla; Bovidae.